GAUGAACGCUGGCGGCGUGCCUAAUACAUGCAAGUCGAGCGAACAGACGAGGAGCUUGCUCCUCUGACGUUAGCGGCGGACGGGUGAGUAACACGUGGAUAACCUACCUAUAAGACUGGGAUAACUUCGGGAAACCGGAGCUAAUACCGGAUAAUAUAUUGAACCGCAUGGUUCAAUAGUGAAAGACGGUUUUGCUGUCACUUAUAGAUGGAUCCGCGCCGCAUUAGCUAGUUGGUAAGGUAACGGCUUACCAAGGCAACGAUGCGUAGCCGACCUGAGAGGGUGAUCGGCCACACUGGAACAGGAACACGGUCCAGACUCCUACGGGAGGCAGCAGUAGGGAAUCUUCCGCAAUGGGCGAAAGCCUGACGGAGCAACGCCGCGUGAGUGAUGAAGGUCUUCGGAUCGUAAAACUCUGUUAUUAGGGAAGAAAAAAUGUGUAAGUAACUAUGCACGUCUUGACGGUACCUAAUCAGAAAGCCACGGCUAACUACGUG
RNAcentral lists this ribosomal RNA (497 nucleotides) under uncultured bacterium. RNAcentral describes it as "partial 16S ribosomal RNA". It matches the Rfam family "Bacterial small subunit ribosomal RNA", at positions 28 to 507 of the family's 1533-position model. The record is from RNAcentral.